CGGACGGGUGAGUAACGCGUGGGCAACCUGCCGUAUACAGGGGGAGUAACAACUGGAAACAGUUGCUAACACCGCAUAAGCGCACAGUACUGCAUGGUACAGUGUGAAAAUCUGAGGAGGUAUACGAUGGGCCCGCGUCUGAUUAGCCAGUUGGCAGGGUAACGGCCUACCAAAGCGACGAUCAGUAGCCGGCCUGAGAGGGUGGACGGCCACAUUGGGACUGAGACACGGCCCAAACUCCUACGGAAGGCAGCAG
RNAcentral lists this ribosomal RNA (256 nucleotides) under uncultured bacterium. Its description in RNAcentral is "partial 16S ribosomal RNA". It matches the Rfam family "Bacterial small subunit ribosomal RNA", at positions 99 to 354 of the family's 1533-position model. The record is from RNAcentral.